Molecule: ribosomal RNA, 717 nt
Filed under: Planococcus sp. MJB4
Lineage: Bacteria; Bacillati; Bacillota; Bacilli; Caryophanales; Caryophanaceae
Description: bacterial SSU rRNA
Rfam family: Bacterial small subunit ribosomal RNA
Source: RNAcentral
GCAAGUCGAGCGGAACCUAUUGGAGCUUGCUCCAUUGGUUUAGCGGCGGACGGGUGAGUAACACGUGGGCAACCUGCCCUGCAGAUCGGGAUAACUCCGGGAAACCGGUGCUAAUACCGAAUAGUUUGGGGCCUCUCCUGAGGCCCCACGGAAAGACGGUUUCGGCUGUCACUGCAGGAUGGGCCCGCGGCGCAUUAGCUAGUUGGUGGGGUAAUGGCCCACCAAGGCGACGAUGCGUAGCCGACCUGAGAGGGUGAUCGGCCACACUGGGACUGAGACACGGCCCAGACUCCUACGGGAGGCAGCAGUAGGGAAUCUUCCGCAAUGGACGAAAGUCUGACGGAGCAACGCCGCGUGAGUGACGAAGGUUUUCGGAUCGUAAAACUCUGUUGUGAGGGAAGAACAAGUACCAACUAACUACUGGUACCUUGACGGUACCUCACCAGAAAGCCACGGCUAACUACGUGCCAGCAGCCGCGGUAAUACGUAGGUGGCAAGCGUUGUCCGGAAUUAUUGGGCGUAAAGCGCGCGCAGGCGGUCCCUUAAGUCUGAUGUGAAAGCCCACGGCUCAACCGUGGAGGGUCAUUGGAAACUGGGGGACUUGAGUGCAGAAGAGGAAAGUGGAAUUCCAUGUGUAGCGGUGAAAUGCGUAGAGAUGUGGAGGAACACCAGUGGCGAAGGCGACUUUCUGGUCUGUAACUGACGCUGAGGCGCGAA